AUCGAACCCGGAGAUAGCUGGUUCUCCUCGAAAUAGCUUUAGGGCUAGCCUCAUGGAUCAUUGGUGGGGGUAGAGCACUGAAUGUGCGCGGGGGCCACAAAGCCUACCAAACGCUAUCAAACUUCGAAUACCAUACAAUGCAGACCAUGGGAGUCAGUCCGCGAGAGAUAAGUUCCGCGGGCAAAAGGGGAACACCCCAGAUCAACCGCUAAGGUCCCCAAGUUCACGUUAAGUGGAGAAGGAUGUGGAAUUGCACAGACAACCAGGAUGUUGGCUCAGAAGCAGCCACACAUUUAAAGAGUGCGUAAUAGCUCACUGGUCGAGUGAUUGUGCGCCGAAGAUGUCCGGGGCUAAACGUGACACCGAAGCGAUGGGUGCAUCUGAAAGGAUGCGCGGUAGAGGAGCAAUGUGCAGAGGCAGAAGCCGUAUCGAGAGGCACGGUGGACACUGCACAAGAGAGAAUGCCGGUAUGAGUAGCGAGAGGCAUGCGAGAAACAUGCCCGUCGAAAGCCCAAGGUUUCCUGGGGAAGGUUCAUCCGCCCAGGGUAAGUCGGGGCCUAAGCCGAGGACGGAAGUCGUAGGCGAUGGACAGCAGGUGUAGAUUCCUGCACUACCGAUGGAAUGAAGCAGUGACACAGAAGGAUAACUCGAGCAGGGUGAUGGUCAACCCUGUGCAAGCAUCAAGGUUGGGUUGUAGUGAAGUACGCAAUCCUACAAGCUGAGGUGUGAUGCGGACCGAAAUUUCAGUAGGGAAGCGAGUGAGUUCACGCUGGCGAGAAAAGCUGCUAGUAUAUCCAAAGGUACCCGUACCGGAAACCGACGCAGGUGGGCGAGGAGAGAAUCCUGAGACGAACGGGAGAACCCUUGUUAAGGAACUCGGCAAAAUGACCCCGUAACUUCGGGAUAAGGGGUGCCUGCGAGAGCAGGCCGCAGAGAAUAGUCACAAGCGACUGUUUAGCAAAAACACAGGUAUCUGCGAAAGCGAGAGCUGACGUAUAGGUGCUGACACCUGCCCGGUGCUGGAAGGUUAAGGGAACAUGUUAGAGCAAUCGAAGCAUCGAACCGAAGCCCCAGUAAACGGCGGCCGUAACUAUAACGGUCCUAAGGUAGCGAAAUUCCUUGUCGGGUAAGUUCCGACCCGCACGAAUGGUGUAACGACUUGUGAGCUGUCUCAACAGGGGGCCCGGUGAAAUUGAAGUAUGGGUGAAGAUGCCCAUUACCCGCGACUGGACGGAGAGACCCCGUAGAGCUUUACUGCAGCCUGAUAUUGAGUUUCGGUAACUGAUGCACAGGAUAGGUGGGAGUCUGAGAGACACGGGUUUCGGCUCGUGAGGAGACGCUGUUGGGAUACCACUCUUCGGUUACUGAAAUUCUAACAUAGCUCUGUGAAACCAGAGGAUGGACAGUGUCAGGUGGACAGUUUGACUGGGGCGGUCGCCUCCGAAAGAGUAACGGAGGCGCCCAAAGGUACCCUCAGAAUGGAUGGAAACCAUUCGAAGAGCGCAAAGGCAGAAGGGUGCCUGACUGCGAGAUUGACAAAUCGAGCAGAGACGAAAGUCGGGCUUAGUGAUCCGGCGGUAUUGAGUGGAAAAGCCGUCGCUUAACGGAUAAAAGCUACCUCGGGGAUAACAGGCUGAUCUCCCCCAAGAGUCCACAUCGACGGGGAGGUUUGGCACCUCGAUGUCGGCUCGUCGCAUCCUGGGGCUGAAGCAGGUCCCAAGGGUUUGGCUGUUCGCCAAUUAAAGCGGCACGCGAGCUGGGUUCAG
Molecule: ribosomal RNA, 1766 nt
Filed under: human gut metagenome
Description: bacterial LSU rRNA
Rfam family: Bacterial large subunit ribosomal RNA
Source: RNAcentral